ACUGAUCGAAUCGCAAGGCCUACGGCCGCGAUAANUCUUUNAAGUUUCUGCCCCAUCAUCUUUCGAUGGUAGUGUAUUGGACUACCAUGGCUUUUACGGGUAACGGAGGAUUAGGGUUCGAUUCCGGAGAGGGAGCCUGAGAAACGGCUACCACAUCUAAGGAAGGCAGCAGGCGCGUAAAUUACCCAAUCCUGACUCAGGGAGGUAGUGACAAGAAAUAACGGGCCGGGA
Molecule: ribosomal RNA, 231 nt
Filed under: uncultured Spirotrichea
Lineage: Eukaryota; Ciliophora; Spirotrichea
Description: partial small subunit ribosomal RNA
Rfam family: Eukaryotic small subunit ribosomal RNA
Source: RNAcentral